UGGGGAAUAUUGCACAAUGGGCGCAAGCCUGAUGCAGCCAUGCCGCGUGUGUGAAGAAGGCCUUCGGGUUGUAAAGCACUUUCAGUCGUGAGGAAGGUGGUGUAGUUAAUAGCUGCAUCAUUUGACGUUAGCGACAGAAGAAGCACCGGCUAACUCCGUGCCAGCAGCCGCGGUAAUACGGAGGGUGCGAGCGUUAAUCGGAAUUACUGGGCGUAAAGCGCAUGCAGGUGGUUAGUUAAGUCAGAUGUGAAAGCCCGGGGCUCAACCUCGGAACUGCAUUUGAAACUGGCUGACUAGAGUACUGUAGAGGGGGGUAGAAUUUCAGGUGUAGCGGUGAAAUGCGUAGAGAUCUGAAGGAAUACCAGUGGCGAAGGCGGCCCCCUGGACAGAUACUGACACUCAGAUGCGAAAGCGUGGGGAGCAAACAGGAUUAGAUACCCCCGUAGUCC
Molecule: ribosomal RNA, 449 nt
Filed under: uncultured prokaryote
Description: bacterial SSU rRNA
Rfam family: Bacterial small subunit ribosomal RNA
Source: RNAcentral